RNAcentral lists this ribosomal RNA (520 nucleotides) under uncultured bacterium. RNAcentral's name for it is "bacterial SSU rRNA". It matches the Rfam family "Archaeal small subunit ribosomal RNA", at positions 345 to 866 of the family's 1478-position model. The record is from RNAcentral.
AACCUCCGCAAUGUGAGAAAUCGCGACGGGGGGAUCCCAAGUGCCAUUCUUAACGGGAUGGCUUUUCAUUAGUGUAAAGAGCUUUUGGAAUAAGAGCUGGGCAAGACCGGUGCCAGCCGCCGCGGUAACACCGGCAGCUCUAGUGGUAACAAUUUUUAUUGGGCCUAAAGCGUCCGUAGCCGGUUUAAUAAGUCUCUGGUGAAAUCCUGUAGCUUAACUGUGGGAAUUGCUGGAGAUACUAUUAGACUUGAGACCGGGAGAGGUUAGAGGUACUCCCAGGGUAGAGGUGAAAUUCUGUAAUCCUGGGAGGACCGCCUGUUGCGAAGGCGUCUAACUGGAACGGUUCUGACGGUGAGGGACGAAAGUUAGGGGCGCGAACCGGAUUAGAUACCCGGGUAGUCCUAACUGUAAACGAUGCGGACUUGGUGUUGGGUGGCUUUGAGCUGCUUCAGUGCCGAAGGGAAGCUGUUAAGUCCGCCGCCUGGGAAGUACGGUCGCAAGACUGAAACUUAAAGGAAUU